CAGGACUCGCAAGACUCCCGUAACCCAUGUGAAUCUUACCUUUGCAUCGUUGCCUCGGCGGGUGCGCCUGGUCUCCAGGCGCCUCGGACCCCCGCCGGCGGCCUACAACUCUUCUGCUUCUCAAGCGUUGGCAUCUCCGAGUAAAAACACAAACGAAUCA
RNAcentral lists this unclassified non-coding RNA (160 nucleotides) under uncultured Chaetosphaeriales. RNAcentral describes it as "sequence contains ITS1". The record is from RNAcentral. Lineage: Eukaryota; Fungi; Ascomycota; Sordariomycetes.